This 253-nucleotide ribosomal RNA is filed under the name uncultured bacterium. RNAcentral describes it as "partial 16S ribosomal RNA". It matches the Rfam family "Bacterial small subunit ribosomal RNA", at positions 524 to 776 of the family's 1533-position model. The record is from RNAcentral.
UACGUAGGUGGCAAGCGUUGUCCGGAUUUAUUGGGUUUAAAGGGUGCGUAGGCGGCUUUGUAAGUCAGUGGUGAAAUAUGGCAGCUCAACUGUCAGGGUGCCAUUGAUACUGCAGAGCUUGAGUACAGAUGAGGUAGGCGGAAUUGACGGUGUAGCGGUGAAAUGCUUAGAUAUCGUCAAGAACACCGAUAGCGAAGGCAGCUUACUGGGCUGUAACUGACACUGAGGCACGAAAGUGUGGGGAUCAAACAGG